CCCUUAGAUGUUCUGGGCCGCACGCGUGCUACACUGAGUAAAUCAAUGGGUAAGGGAACACGAAAGUGCAACCUAAUCUUCAAAUUUGCUCGUGAUGGGGAUCGACGGUUGCAAUUUUCCGUCGUGAACGAGGAAUACCUUGUAGGCGCGUGUCAUCAUCACGCGCCGAAUACGUCCCUGCCCUUUGUACACACCGCCCGUCGCUCCUACCGAUUGAGUGAUCCGGUGAGGCUCUGGGACCUGGACGGAAAGAGCGUUUCGCUUGUUCUGUUUGGGAAACUUGGUCGAACCUUAUCAUUUAGAGGAAGGAGAAGUCGUAGCA
Molecule: ribosomal RNA, 322 nt
Filed under: uncultured eukaryote
Lineage: Eukaryota
Description: partial 18S ribosomal RNA
Rfam family: Eukaryotic small subunit ribosomal RNA
Source: RNAcentral